CCUGAUCCAGCAAUGCCGCGUGAGUGAUGAAGGCCUUCGGGUUGUAAAGCUCUUUCGCACGCGACGAUGAUGACGGUAGCGUGAGAAGAAGCCCCGGCUAACUUCGUGCCAGCAGCCGCGGUAAUACGAAGGGGGCUAGCGUUGUUCGGAAUUACUGGGCGUAAAGGGCGCGUAGGCGGUGUGUCAAGUCAGGCGUGAAAGCCCCGGGCUCAACCUGGGAACCGCGCUUGAGACUGGCACGCUCGAGUUCGGGAGAGGAUGGUGGAAUUCCCAGUGUAGAGGUGAAAUUCGUAGAUAUUGGGAAGAACACCGAUGGCGAAGGCAGCCAUCUGGACCGACACUGACGCUGAGGCGCGAAAGCGUGGGGAGCAAACAGGAUUAGAUACCCUGGUAGUCCACGCCGUAAACGAUGAGUGCUAGACGUCGGGGUCCUUAGGGCUUCGGUGUCGCAGCUAACGCAUUAAGCACUCCGCCUGGGGAGUACGGCCGCAAGGUUA
This 497-nucleotide ribosomal RNA is filed under the name uncultured Pseudomonadota bacterium. RNAcentral describes it as "bacterial SSU rRNA". It matches the Rfam family "Bacterial small subunit ribosomal RNA", at positions 382 to 896 of the family's 1533-position model. Lineage: Bacteria; Pseudomonadati; Pseudomonadota. The record is from RNAcentral.